RNAcentral lists this ribosomal RNA (409 nucleotides) under thelephoroid fungal sp. 21MR. Its description in RNAcentral is "LSU rRNA". It matches the Rfam family "Bacterial large subunit ribosomal RNA", at positions 1752 to 2070 of the family's 2925-position model. Lineage: Eukaryota; Fungi; Basidiomycota; Agaricomycetes; Thelephorales; Thelephoraceae. The record is from RNAcentral.
CACUUAGAUAUCUUGGUCUUCCUUUUUUAAUUAAANUUUAAAAAUUGAUAAGAAGACAGAUAAUAUUAAAAUGAUUUAUUUUUUAUUUUAUUUUUUAUUAUUAUAAUUUAACUAUGGUGGUGGCACAAAAUCGGAGGCCCCGACUGUUUACUAAAAACACAAUUCAGAGCAAUGAUGCAAAUCAUAGUAUUCUGGAUGAAAUUUGCCCGAUGCCAUUAACAUAAAAGAGGUAAUAGGAAACUGUUACUAAUUGAAAGUCUGGUUAAUAGCGGUCUUAACUAUGAGGAUCCUAAGGUAGCAAAAUCAGUUGGCCAUUAAAUGUGGUCUGGUAUCAAUAGUGUAACGAUGGUCUCACUGUCUCUACAACUUGCUCAGUGAAAUUGAAUUACCCGUGCAGAUGCGGGUUACC